CCUACGGGAGGCAGCAGCUAAGAAUAUUCCGCAAUGGAGGAAACUCUGACGGAGCGACGCCGCGUGGAUGAGGAAGGCCGGAAGGUUGUAAAAUCCUUUUAAGUAUGAGGAAUAAGUUAUGUAGGAAAUGACAUAAUGGUGACUGUAGUACUUGAAUAAGCAACGGCUAAUUACGUGCCAGCAGCCGCGGUAAU
This 194-nucleotide ribosomal RNA is filed under the name uncultured bacterium. RNAcentral's name for it is "partial 16S ribosomal RNA". It matches the Rfam family "Bacterial small subunit ribosomal RNA", at positions 338 to 524 of the family's 1533-position model. The record is from RNAcentral.